AUUGAACGCUGGCGGCAUGCUUUACACAUGCAAGUCGAGCGGCAGCGCGGGGGCAACCCUGGCGGCGAGCGGCGAACGGGUGAGUAAUGCAUCGGAACGUAUCCUCGAGUGGGGGAUAACCCAGCGAAAGUUGGGCUAAUACCGCAUGAGCUCUGAGGAGGAAAGCGGGGGACCUGCGAGGGCCUCGCGCUGGAGGAGCGGCCGAUGUCCGAUUAGCUAGUUGGUGGGGUAAAGGCUUACCAAGGCGACGAUCGGUAGCUGGUCUGAGAGGAUGAUCAGCCACACUGGGACUGAGACACGGCCCAGACCCCUACGGGAGGCAGCAGUGGGGAAUUUUGGACAAUGGGGGCAACCCUGAUCCAGCCAUGCCGCGUGAGUGAAGAAGGCCUUCGGGUUGUAAAGCUCUUUCGGACGGAACGAAAUGGGCGGGACUAAUACUCCUGUCUGAUGACGGUACCGUAAGAAGAAGCACCGGCUAACUACGUG
RNAcentral lists this ribosomal RNA (486 nucleotides) under uncultured bacterium. RNAcentral describes it as "partial 16S ribosomal RNA". It matches the Rfam family "Bacterial small subunit ribosomal RNA", at positions 29 to 507 of the family's 1533-position model. The record is from RNAcentral.